RNAcentral lists this transfer RNA (75 nucleotides) under Prevotella sp. RNAcentral's name for it is "tRNA-Val". It matches the Rfam family "tRNA". From Rfam's summary of the family: Transfer RNA (tRNA) molecules are approximately 80 nucleotides in length. Their secondary structure includes four short double-helical elements and three loops (D, anti-codon, and T loops). Further hydrogen bonds mediate the characteristic L-shaped molecular structure. tRNAs have two regions of fundamental functional importance: the anti-codon, which is responsible for specific mRNA codon recognition, and the 3' end, to which the tRNAs corresponding amino acid is attached (by aminoacyl-tRNA synthetases). tRNAs cope with the degeneracy of the genetic code in two manners: having more than one tRNA (with a specific anti-codon) for a particular amino acid; and 'wobble' base-pairing, i.e. permitting non-standard base-pairing at the 3rd anti-codon position. The record is from RNAcentral. RNAcentral also lists the same sequence under 2 other names. Lineage: Bacteria; Pseudomonadati; Bacteroidota; Bacteroidia; Bacteroidales; Prevotellaceae.
GGGCGCUUAGCUCAGUUGGUUUAGAGCAUCUGCCUUACAAGCAGAGGGUCGGGGGUUCGACUCCCUCAGCGCCCA